This 680-nucleotide ribosomal RNA is filed under the name Castellaniella ginsengisoli. RNAcentral's name for it is "bacterial SSU rRNA". It matches the Rfam family "Bacterial small subunit ribosomal RNA", at positions 57 to 727 of the family's 1533-position model. The record is from RNAcentral. Lineage: Bacteria; Pseudomonadati; Pseudomonadota; Betaproteobacteria; Burkholderiales; Alcaligenaceae.
GCAGUCGAACGGCAGCGCGAGAAAGCUUGCUUUCUUGGCGGCGAGUGGCGAACGGGUGAGUAAUGUAUCGGAACGUGCCCAGUAGCGGGGGAUAACUGGCCGAAAGGUCAGCUAAUACCGCAUACGCCCUACGGGGGAAAGGGGGGGAUCGCAAGACCUCUCACUAUUGGAGCGGCCGAUAUCGGAUUAGCUAGUUGGUGGGGUAAAGGCCUACCAAGGCGACGAUCCGUAGCUGGUUUGAGAGGACGACCAGCCACACUGGGACUGAGACACGGCCCAGACUCCUACGGGAGGCAGCAGUGGGGAAUUUUGGACAAUGGGGGAAACCCUGAUCCAGCCAUCCCGCGUGUGCGAUGAAGGCCUUCGGGUUGUAAAGCACUUUUGGCAGGGAAGAAACAGCCUGGGCUAAUAUCCCGGGCGACUGACGGUACCUGCAGAAUAAGCACCGGCUAACUACGUGCCAGCAGCCGCGGUAAUACGUAGGGUGCAAGCGUUAAUCGGAAUUACUGGGCGUAAAGCGUGCGCAGGCGGUUCGGAAAGAAAGGUGUGAAAUCCCAGGGCUUAACCUUGGAACUGCACUUUUAACUACCGGGCUAGAGUACGUCAGAGGGGGGUAGAAUUCCACGUGUAGCAGUGAAAUGCGUAGAGAUGUGGAGGAAUACCGAUGGCGAAGGCAGCCC